RNAcentral lists this ribosomal RNA (1198 nucleotides) under Bacillus pumilus. RNAcentral's name for it is "bacterial SSU rRNA". It matches the Rfam family "Bacterial small subunit ribosomal RNA", at positions 34 to 1219 of the family's 1533-position model. Lineage: Bacteria; Bacillati; Bacillota; Bacilli; Caryophanales; Bacillaceae. The record is from RNAcentral.
CGCCAAUGCGGCAUCUAUCAUGCAGUCGAGCGGACAGAAGGGAGCUUGCUCCCGGAUGUUAGCGGCGGACGGGUGAGUAACACGUGGGUAACCUGCCUGUAAGACUGGGAUAACUCCGGGAAACCGGAGCUAAUACCGGAUAGUUCCUUGAACCGCAUGGUUCAAGGAUGAAAGACGGUUUCGGCUGUCACUUACAGAUGGACCCGCGGCGCAUUAGCUAGUUGGUGGGGUAAUGGCUCACCAAGGCGACGAUGCGUAGCCGACCUGAGAGGGUGAUCGGCCACACUGGGACUGAGACACGGCCCAGACUCCUACGGGAGGCAGCAGUAGGGAAUCUUCCGCAAUGGACGAAAGUCUGACGGAGCAACGCCGCGUGAGUGAUGAAGGUUUUCGGAUCGUAAAGCUCUGUUGUUAGGGAAGAACAAGUGCGAGAGUAACUGCUCGCACCUUGACGGUACCUAACCAGAAAGCCACGGCUAACUACGUGCCAGCAGCCGCGGUAAUACGUAGGUGGCAAGCGUUGUCCGGAAUUAUUGGGCGUAAAGGGCUCGCAGGCGGUUUCUUAAGUCUGAUGUGAAAGCCCCCGGCUCAACCGGGGAGGGUCAUUGGAAACUGGGAAACUUGAGUGCAGAAGAGGAGAGUGGAAUUCCACGUGUAGCGGUGAAAUGCGUAAAGAUGUGGAGGAACACCAGUGGCGAAGGCGACUCUCUGGUCUGUAACUGACGCUGAGGAGCGAAAGCGUGGGGAGCGAACAGGAUUAGAUACCCUGGUAGUCCACGCCGUAAACGAUGAGUGCUAAGUGUUAGGGGGUUUCCGCCCCUUAGUGCUGCAGCUAACGCAUUAAGCACUCCGCCUGGGGAGUACGGUCGCAAGACUGAAACUCAAAGGAAUUGACGGGGGCCCGCACAAGCGGUGGAGCAUGUGGUUUAAUUCGAAGCAACGCGAAAAACCUUACCAGGUCUUGACAUCCUCUGACAACCCUAGAGAUAGGGCUUUCCCUUCGGGGACAGAGUGACAGGUGGUGCAUGGUUGUCGUCAGCUCGUGUCGUGAGAUGUUGGGUUAAGUCCCGCAACGAGCGCAACCCUUGAUCUUAGUUGCCAGCAUUUAGUUGGGCACUCUAAGGUGACUGCCGGUGACAAACCGGAGGAAGGUGGGGAUGACGUCAAAUCAUCAUGCCCCUUAUGACCUGGGCUACAC